AAACCGUUCGGGGGUAAACGGACAGAGCCCGUGAAUCCGGGCGGUGGAAUUCAGAAUCGGCGGCGUUCGCGCGUUGUCGGUUCGAUAUUUCCGUCGCCUUUAUUUUACGGACGUCGCGACCCGUUCGGUGUCGGUCUGAGGAGAUGUGAAAAAGUUUGACGGCGCGUUGUCGAAUCGUUUCGGCGGUUAGGCGCGCGUCGUUGAGUUCGCGUUUUUAUUUCUGGCCGACUCGCCGGACGGUAGGUGUAACGGUGGCCGCGGCGACUUCGCGUCGUCGACGGUACCGGUCUGCGACGAAUCUUCGGGCCUCUUUCCGA
This 317-nucleotide ribosomal RNA is filed under the name Dysmicoccus lepelleyi. RNAcentral's name for it is "partial 28S ribosomal RNA". Lineage: Eukaryota; Metazoa; Arthropoda; Insecta; Hemiptera; Pseudococcidae. The record is from RNAcentral.